RNAcentral lists this non-coding RNA (27 nucleotides) under Mus musculus (house mouse). Lineage: Eukaryota; Metazoa; Chordata; Mammalia; Rodentia; Muridae. The record is from RNAcentral.
UGAGACAUCCCCACAACCGCGGAGAGC